UACGGAGGGGGCAAGCGUUGUUCGGAAUUACUGGGCGUAAAGGGCUCGUAGGCGGCCAACUAAGUCAGACGUGAAAUCCCUCAGCUUAACUGGGGAACUGCGUCCGAUACUGGAUGGCUUGAGUUCGGGAGAGGGAUGCGGAAUUCCAGGUGUAGCGGUGAAAUGCGUAGAUAUCUGGAGGAACACCGGUGGCGAAGGCGGCAUCCUGGACCGAUACUGACGCUGAGGAGCGAAAGCCAGGGGAGCAAACGGGG
RNAcentral lists this ribosomal RNA (254 nucleotides) under uncultured bacterium. Its description in RNAcentral is "partial 16S ribosomal RNA". It matches the Rfam family "Bacterial small subunit ribosomal RNA", at positions 524 to 777 of the family's 1533-position model. The record is from RNAcentral.